GUGCUUGCUUCGGCGGCACAUAUACUAAAAUUGGAACAAUACAGAGUUAGCAUGACCCCCACACAAGGAUGACACACAAAUUCCUGAAGUGUUCCAUAUUUUU
Molecule: small nuclear RNA, 103 nt
Organism: Echinops telfairi (small Madagascar hedgehog)
Lineage: Eukaryota; Metazoa; Chordata; Mammalia; Afrosoricida; Tenrecidae
Source: Ensembl